AGCAGGCAUCACCACUGCAUUCUACAAGUGAGGACUCUGAGGCUCAGAGGUGGUGAGCCUUAGGCCACCUGUCUCCACUUAGCAGAAGUCAAGCAGCUUAUCUUGUCUUCAGCAUCCCUGAAAGAUGUUCUGGGGGACGCAGGGGAAGAAAAUCUCUGUGGACAAACAGCAAAGAUCCCAGGACCUGUCUUGCUACAGCG
Molecule: long non-coding RNA, 200 nt
Organism: Canis lupus familiaris (dog)
Lineage: Eukaryota; Metazoa; Chordata; Mammalia; Carnivora; Canidae
Exons: 3
Source: RefSeq, a predicted model, not a curated record